UAUGAAUGAUGAUUUUUUUUCUUACCUGAAUGUUACUGGAGGGAAAAUCUGAUUUAAUGAGUCUGACAA
Molecule: small nucleolar RNA, 69 nt
Filed under: Rhopalosiphum maidis (corn leaf aphid)
Lineage: Eukaryota; Metazoa; Arthropoda; Insecta; Hemiptera; Aphididae
Source: RNAcentral